GACGGAAGGUGCGAGCGUUGUCCGGAAUCACUGGGCGUAAAGGGUGCGUAGGCGGCGCGGUAAGUCGGGUGUGAAAUCUCGGGGCUUAACUCCGAAACUGCAUUCGAUACUACCGUGCUUGAGGACUGGAGAGGAGACUGGAAUUUACGGUGUAGCGGUGAAAUGCGUAGAUAUCGUAAGGAAGACCAGUGGCGAAGGCGGGUCUCUGGACAGUUCCUGACGCUGAGGCACGAAGGCCAGGGGAGCAAACGGG
Molecule: ribosomal RNA, 253 nt
Filed under: uncultured bacterium
Lineage: Bacteria
Description: partial 16S ribosomal RNA
Rfam family: Bacterial small subunit ribosomal RNA
Source: RNAcentral